RNAcentral lists this ribosomal RNA (388 nucleotides) under Bacteroidales bacterium. Its description in RNAcentral is "partial 23S ribosomal RNA". It matches the Rfam family "Bacterial large subunit ribosomal RNA", at positions 2525 to 2925 of the family's 2925-position model. The record is from RNAcentral. Lineage: Bacteria; Pseudomonadati; Bacteroidota; Bacteroidia; Bacteroidales.
CUCGAUGUCGGCUCGUCACAUCCUGGGGCUGGAGAAGGUCCCAAGGGUUCGGCUGUUCGCCGAUUAAAGUGGCACGCGAGCUGGGUUCAGAACGUCGUGAGACAGUUCGGUCCCUAUCUAUCGUGGGCGCAGGAAUUUUGCGGGGCUCUGACUCUAGUACGAGAGGACCGAGUUGGACAUACCGCUGGUGUACCGGUUGUAUCGCCAGAUGCAUUGCCGGGUAGCUAUGUAUGGAUUGGAUAAGUGCUGAAAGCAUCUAAGCACGAAGCCAGCCCCAAGAUAAGAAUUCCCUUGAGGGUUGUGGGAGACUACCACGUUGAUAGGCUACAGGUGUAAAGGCAGUAAUGUCAAAGCCGAGUAGUACUAAUUGCCCGAAAGAUUUUCUUAC